ACGUGAUUCCACGCCACCUGCUCACGCCGUUUUCUUCUCAGACAACAAUGGAGUUCUAUUAGUUUCAACUAGUUACAUAUAUAUAGAGUUCAAUCAAUGUUGUUACAAGUUUACAGUGGCUCCAUCGUUGAAGGCUUAAUUACAGCUGCAGGGAAUCGUCGGUUCGACACUAGGUUGUGUCCGAUUUUCUUCUUAACUUUAAUUUUUAAAACGACGUCGUUUUGAACUGUUAACGGAAAGUUGACUCCGUUAUUUUUCUGUUAACGGAAAUUUCACGGCAUGCCUUAAAUGACCAAGUCAACGAAACUUAGACAUUUUUUAAGAAGUUAACUCAAACUUUGAGGUUUAAAUGACAUUUCGAAAGUUCAUGCUUUUUUCGUCCCAAAUUUGAAAGUUUGCGCAUUUUCCGACAUUUUUCCCAUUAUUACGUAACUAUAAAUUUUAGCAU
This 448-nucleotide small RNA is filed under the name Arabidopsis thaliana (thale cress). RNAcentral describes it as "ATSL174230". Lineage: Eukaryota; Viridiplantae; Streptophyta; Magnoliopsida; Brassicales; Brassicaceae. The record is from RNAcentral.